CUACGGGAUGCAGCAGUGAGGAAUAUUGCGCAAUGGGCGAAAGCCUGACGCAGCGACGCCGCGUGAAGGAUGAAGGUCUUCGGAUUGUAAACUUCUGUUAAGUGGGAAGAAAGGUUUGUUUUUAAUAGAAACAAAAGAUGACUGUACCAUUAGAGAAAGCACCGGCUAACUUCGUGCCAGCAGCCGCGGUAAUACGAGGGGUGCAAGCGUUAUUCGGAAUCAUUGGGCGUAAAGGGUGCGUAGACGGUUUAUUAAGUCAACUGUUAAAUUCUCCGGCCUAACUGGAGAUCAGCGGUAGAAACUGGUAAACUUGAGGUUGGAAGAGAGAAGUGGAAUUCUCGGAGUAGCGGUAAAAUGCGUAGAUCUCGAGAGGAACACCAAUGGCGAAGGCAGCUUCUUGGUCCAAAUCUGACGUUGAGGCACGAAAGCGUGGGGAGCAAACAGGAUUAGAUACCCCUGUAGUC
RNAcentral lists this ribosomal RNA (464 nucleotides) under uncultured bacterium. RNAcentral's name for it is "partial 16S ribosomal RNA". It matches the Rfam family "Bacterial small subunit ribosomal RNA", at positions 339 to 795 of the family's 1533-position model. The record is from RNAcentral.